This is a long non-coding RNA of Alligator sinensis (Chinese alligator), 486 nucleotides long. RefSeq lists it as uncharacterized. The transcript is spliced from 3 exons. Lineage: Eukaryota; Metazoa; Chordata; Crocodylia; Alligatoridae. The record is from RefSeq and is a predicted model, not a curated record.
GGAAGAAGGUGGUGCUGAGAAGGUAGCCCUGAGCUGCAGUGUCCCCUCUCUAGGUCCAAGGGAGAACCCUAGCUCAUCCUCUGGGGUUAUUGUCAAGCACUGGGUCAGAAGAAAGAAAGACACCUAUCAGUAACUAUAUCAGGAGCUCCAUUUCUUGCUGUACCCCUUCUCCUGACCCAGCCAGGCUUUUUAAAACAAGCUCCAGUUGAUUGGUGGCCAAAAGGAAAUAAUGUAUAAUAAUAUGAAAGAGGCAUAUUCAGAAGAUUACCAGGAGAAUGGGAUGGAGAAAAUGAGUGCUUCCACAAGUUUGACACUCUCUACCCGCCUCCACAUUAAUUUGCUUGGAUGAUCAAAAGUAAGAGAAGAAAGACAAUUACAGCUCUUGCCAGACCCAGAAAUAAAAACUUGGCAAAAUGAGUGACAACCCAAGCAAAAAGCCAACAGUUAGCCUCUGGCAUUUGGGCAGGUUUUGUGAGCUUUCUUGUA